RNAcentral lists this ribosomal RNA (301 nucleotides) under uncultured bacterium. RNAcentral's name for it is "partial 16S ribosomal RNA". It matches the Rfam family "Bacterial small subunit ribosomal RNA", at positions 509 to 807 of the family's 1533-position model. The record is from RNAcentral.
CAGUAGCCGCGGGAAUACGGAGGGGGCUAGCGUUGUUCGGAAUUACUGGGCGUAAAGCGCACGUAGGCGGCUUUGUAAGUCAGAGGUAAAAGCCCGGGGCUCAACCCCGGAAUUGCCUUUGAGACUGCAUCGCUUGAAUCCAGGAGAGGUGAGUGGAAUUCCGAGUGUAGAGGUGAAAUUCGUAGAUAUUCGGAAGAACACCAGUGGCGAAGGCGGCUCACUGGACUGGUAUUGACGCUGAGGUGCGAAAGCGUGGGGAGCAAACAGGAUUAGAUACCCCGGUAGUCCCUGUCUCUUAUAC